AGAGCGAACGCUGGCGGCAGGCCUAACACAUGCAAGUCGAACGGACCCUUCGGGGUUAGUGGCGGACGGGUGAGUAACACGUGGGAACGUGCCUUUAGGUUCGGAAUAGCUCCUGGAAACGGGUGGUAAUGCCGAAUGUGCCCUUCGGGGGAAAGAUUUAUCGCCUUUAGAGCGGCCCGCGUCUGAUUAGCUUGUUGGUGAGGUAAUGGCUCACCAAGGCUACGAUCAGUAGCUGGUCUGAGAGGAUGACCAGCCACAUUGGGACUGAGACACGGCCCAAACUCCUACGGGAGGCAGCAGUGGGGAAUCUUGCGCAAUGGGCGAAAGCCUGACGCAGCCAUGCCGCGUGUAUGAUGAAGGUCUUAGGAUUGUAAAAAUACUUUCACCGGUGAAGAUAAUGACUGUAGCCGGAGAAGAAGCCCCGGCUAACUCGUGCCAGCCAGCCGC
RNAcentral lists this ribosomal RNA (447 nucleotides) under uncultured soil bacterium. Its description in RNAcentral is "bacterial SSU rRNA". It matches the Rfam family "Bacterial small subunit ribosomal RNA", at positions 26 to 518 of the family's 1533-position model. The record is from RNAcentral.